RNAcentral lists this unclassified non-coding RNA (430 nucleotides) under Hevea brasiliensis (rubber tree). Lineage: Eukaryota; Viridiplantae; Streptophyta; Magnoliopsida; Malpighiales; Euphorbiaceae. The record is from RNAcentral.
GUCAAGAACAAUAUUGAACUGGUUUGUAUUUCACUCAUACUUUUGUAUAUAUGUCCAUUUUUAUCUAUUCAUAUUUAUUAGCAUACCACUUGGAGUAAGAGUGAACUUGUUUUUGCUUUACCAAAAAUUUAAAAACAUGGGCAUCUAUGGUUGGUGGUAGAUUGACGGUGAUAUUGUUACAGAAUGAAAGCAUUUUUUCUUUGUUUUUUUAAUCUUCUUUAAAUUUCUUGAAUGUUGACUUAAUUGUGCACGCCGGUUGUUACCUAAUUAUUAUCAUUUUAAGGUUUACCUUGAAAGUUACGUCUUUGUCGGCUGAUGAUUAAAAAGGGAUGCAUGCCUGUGGUGUGGUGCAUGGUGAUUAUAGGUUUUCAUCUUAAGUUAAUUCUGCAAGUUUGAAUUGUUAGGCCUUCUGGUGAAAUCAAUAAUGAAA